This 2322-nucleotide ribosomal RNA is filed under the name gut metagenome. RNAcentral describes it as "bacterial LSU rRNA". It matches the Rfam family "Bacterial large subunit ribosomal RNA", at positions 1 to 2329 of the family's 2925-position model. The record is from RNAcentral.
UUAAGCGAAGAAGAGCGUAUGGUGGAUGCCUUGGCACUAGGCGCCGAAGAAGGACGUGACAAGCUGCGAUAAGCUACGGGGAGUUGCAAAUGAACUUUGAUCCGUAGAUUUCCGAAUGAGGGAACUCACCGUUGGUAAUGCGACGGUAUACGCACAUGAAUCAAUAGUGUGCGUAAGGGAACCCGGGGAACUGAAACAUCUAAGUACCCGGAGGAAAAGAAAGUAAAGAAACGAUUUUCUGAGUAGUGGUGAGCGAAAGGGAAAGAGCCCAAACCGAGUCAUAGAAAUAUGGCGAGGGGUAUGGACCGCGACGUAGUAUUAAACGAGGGUAGACGAAUCAGACAGAAAGCUGAGCCAAAGAAAGUGACAGCCUUGUAGUCGAAACUCAAGUUUAGCUUAGCGGUAUCCGGAGUACCACAGGACACGAGGAAUCCGGUGGGAAUGCGGGAGGACCAUCUCCUAAGGCUAAAUACGACCUAGUGACCGAUAGAGAACAGUACCGUGAGGGAAAGGUGAAAAGAUCCCCGGGAGGGAAGUGAAAGAGCACCUGAAACCAUAUGCUUACAAGCAGACAGAGCACCACGGAGCGAUCCGGUGUGAUGUCGUACUUUUUGUAGAACGGGCCGGCGAGUUACGUUGCGUAGCGAGGUUAAGAUAUUAAGUAUCGGAGCCGAAGCGAAAGCGAGUUUGAAGAGAGCGACAUAGUUGCGUGACGUAGACCCGAAACCGGAUGACCUAACCAUGGACAGGUUGAAGCUGGGGUAAGACCCAGUGGAGGACCGAACACACGUUCGUUGAAACGACCGGUGAUGAGCUGUGGUUAGCGGAGAAAUUCCAAUCGAAUCCGGAUAUAGCUGGUUCUCCUCGAAAUAGCUUUAGGGCUAGCCUCUGUUUAGAAUACUGAAGGUAGAGCACUGAAUGGGCUAGGGGGCUUCACGGCUUACCGAACCCUAUCAAACUUCGAAUGACAGAUAUUUGAUGGCAGGGAGUCAGACAGUGAGAGAUAAGUUCCAUUGUCAAAAGGGAAACAGCCCAGAUCUACGACUAAGGUCCCCAAGUAAUAGUUAAGUGGUAAAGGAUGUGUCACUGCUAAAACAACCAGGAUGUUGGCUUAGAAGCAGCCACUCAUUUAAAGAGUGCGUAAUAGCUCACUGGUCGAGUGGUGGUGCGCCGAAAAUUAUCGGGGCUAAAACUAUACACCGAAGUCUGGGAAUACAGUAAUGUAUUGGUAGAGGAGCAAUGUGUUGAGGCAGAAGCGUUAGCGGAAGCGGGCGUGGACGAGACACAAGAGAGAAUGCCGGCAUAAGUAGCGAGAACGUAGUGAGAAACUACGUCGUCGAAAGUCUAAGGUUUCCCGGGGAAGGUUCGUCCCCCCAGGGUAAGUCGGGAACUAAGGCCAGGCCGAACGGCGUAGCUGAUGGACAACAGGUAGAUAUUCCUGUACCGCCGACGUACGAUAAAGAGAUGAAGCAAUGACACAGAAGGAUAGUCUAGGCGCGAUGAUGGAUAGUCGCGUUCAAAUCAUGAGGCUUGUAAGUAGUGAAGUACGCUUACUAAAAGGCUGGGUGAUGAUGAGGAGUGAAAAAUAGUAGCGAAGUAGAUGAAUUCACGCUGGCGAGAAAAGUUGCUAAAUAGUACGUAGGCGCCCGUACCGCAAACCGACACAGGUAGACGGCAAGAAAAUUGCAAGACGAACGGGAGAACCCUUGUUAAGGAACUCUGCAAAAUGACCCCGUAACUUCGGGAGAAGGGGAGCCUACGCGAGUAGGCCGCAGUGAAGAGGCCCAAGCGACUGUUUACCAAAAACACAGGUUUCUGCGAAUUCGAAAGAAGACGUAUAGGAGCUGACGCCUGCCCAGUGCUGGAAGGUUAAGUGGACGUGUCAGAGCAAUCGAAGCAUCGAAAUUAAGCCCCAGUGAACGGCGGCCGUAACUAUAACGGUCCUAAGGUAGCGAAAUUCCUUGUCGGGUAAGUUCCGACCCGCACGAAUGGCGUAACGAUUUGGGCGCUGUCUCAACAGGGGACCCGGCGAAAUUGUAGUAUACGUGAAGAUGCGUAUUACCCGCGACUGGACGGAAAGACCCCGUAGAGCUUUACUGUAGUUUAACAUUGGGUCUCGGUAAUUCAUGUACAGGAUAGGUGGGAGACUGGGAAACGUAGGCGUCAGCUUACGCGGAGUCACCCUUGGGAUACCACCCUUGAAUUAUUGAGGUUCUAACGCUGUGCCAUGAACUGGGCAGCGGACAGUGUUUGAUGGGCAGUUUGACUGGGGCGGUCGCCUCCUAAAGAGUAACGGAGGCGUUCAAAGGUUCCCUCAGAAUG